GAGUUUCUUCAACUCUUUUUUUUCUUUUAAAGAUUUGUCUCCAACUGCAUGCCAGAGUAACGGAGAGACUUUGACAGCCCAGGUCAUCACAGUGCCUGCUGUUGCCACUCAGCUCUCCUAUGUUU
This is a small nucleolar RNA of Rattus norvegicus (Norway rat), 125 nucleotides long. Ensembl annotates it as small nucleolar RNA SNORA44. The record is from Ensembl. Lineage: Eukaryota; Metazoa; Chordata; Mammalia; Rodentia; Muridae.